This 512-nucleotide ribosomal RNA is filed under the name uncultured bacterium. RNAcentral describes it as "partial 16S ribosomal RNA". It matches the Rfam family "Bacterial small subunit ribosomal RNA", at positions 28 to 522 of the family's 1533-position model. The record is from RNAcentral.
GAUGAACGCUGGCGGCGUGCCUAAUACAUGCAAGUCGAGCGAACAGAUGAAGUGCUUGCGCUUCUGACGUUAGCGGCGAACGGGUGAGUAACACGUAAGGAAUCUACCUAUAAGCGGGGGAUAACAUUCGGAAACGGGUGCUAAUACCGCAUAAUAUCUUCUUCCGCAUGGAAGAAGAUUGAAAGACGGCUCUGCUGUCACUUAUAGAUGACCUUGCGGUGCAUUAGUUAGUUGGUGGGGUAAUGGCUUACCAAGACGAUGAUGCAUAGCCGACCUGAGAGGGUGAUCGGCCACAUUGGGACUGAGACACGGCCCAAACUCCUACGGGAGGCAGCAGUAGGGAAUCUUCCGCAAUGGGCGAAAGCCUGACGGAGCAAUGCCGCGUGAGUGAAGAAGGCCUUCGGGUCGUAAAACCCUGUUAUAAGAGAAGAACAAAUUGUAGAGUAACUGCUACAGUCUUGACGGUAUCUUAUCAGAAAGCCACGGCUAACUACGUGCCAGCCGCCGCAUAA